ACGAGGUAAAACUUUCAUCAUUUGCUCAGAAUUUAAUUUUAAACACACUAAUGACCAAAUCGGAGUAAAAGGACAAGCUAAUUGGCUAAAAAAUAUUGGCAAACUUUGGCAGCGCCGCCACGGGGUAUUUCGAAAAACACCUCCGAUGAGGCCCUUCCCGAUUCUCGUUCGAUGUGAUUUUUCUACCGUUGUGAUCACUGUUUCCUUCUCUGCAGGUUGACCAGAGCAAAACACCCAACCGCAAUAUGAGCCGGAGGAGUCGCCGCACUGGAGAGCCUCGCCGCCGGUGAGUUUCAGUUUUCUACGUUCUUUUCGCCCAACCG
RNAcentral lists this long non-coding RNA (323 nucleotides) under Carica papaya (papaya). RNAcentral describes it as "long non-coding RNA (CPAP_LNC009873)". Lineage: Eukaryota; Viridiplantae; Streptophyta; Magnoliopsida; Brassicales; Caricaceae. The record is from RNAcentral.